UACGGGGGGUGCGAGCGUUAUUCGGAAUUACUGGGCGUAAAGCGUGCGCAGGCGGCUUCGCAAGUCAGACGUGAAAUCCCCGGGCUUAACCUGGGAAUGGCGUUUGAAACUACGGAGCUGGAGUGUGGCAGAGGGAGGUAGAAUUCCACGUGUAGCGGUGAAAUGCGUAGAUAUGUGGAGGAAUACCGAUGGCGAAGGCAGCCUCCUGGGCCAACACUGACGCUCAUGCACGAAAGCGUGGGGAGCAAACAGG
This 253-nucleotide ribosomal RNA is filed under the name uncultured bacterium. RNAcentral's name for it is "partial 16S ribosomal RNA". It matches the Rfam family "Bacterial small subunit ribosomal RNA", at positions 524 to 776 of the family's 1533-position model. The record is from RNAcentral.